UCCCUCAUAGCUCAGCUGGUAAAUCAUCUGCCUGCAAUGCAGGAGACCCGGGUUCGAUUCCUGGGUUGGGAA
Molecule: transfer RNA, 72 nt
Filed under: Bos taurus (domestic cattle)
Lineage: Eukaryota; Metazoa; Chordata; Mammalia; Artiodactyla; Bovidae
Also listed under: 4 other names
Rfam family: tRNA
About the family: Transfer RNA (tRNA) molecules are approximately 80 nucleotides in length.
Source: Rfam by way of RNAcentral